UGGGGAAUAUUGGACAAUGGGCGCAAGCCUGAUCCAGCCAUGCCGCGUGAGUGAUGACGGCCUUAGGGUUGUAAAGCUCUUUCGUCCGGGACGAUAAUGACGGUACCGGAAGAAGAAGCCCCGGCUAACUUCGUGCCAGCAGCCGCGGUAAUACGAAGGGGGCUAGCGUUGUUCGGAAUCACUGGGCGUAAAGGGCGCGUAGGCGGCUUUAUAAGUCGGGGGUGAAAGCCUGUGGCUCAACCACAGAAUUGCCUUCGAUACUGGUUGGCUUGAGACCGGAAGAGGUAAGUGGAACUGCGAGUGUAGAGGUGAAAUUCGUAGAUAUUCGCAAGAACACCAGUGGCGAAGGCGGCUUACUGGUCCGGUUCUGACGCUGAGGCGCGAAAGCGUGGGGAGCAAACA
Molecule: ribosomal RNA, 402 nt
Filed under: uncultured Microvirga sp.
Lineage: Bacteria; Pseudomonadati; Pseudomonadota; Alphaproteobacteria; Hyphomicrobiales; Methylobacteriaceae
Description: bacterial SSU rRNA
Rfam family: Bacterial small subunit ribosomal RNA
Source: RNAcentral